GUGGAUUAGAUACCCGGGUAGUCCACGCCCUAAACGAUGUCGACUAGUUGUCGGGUCUUUACAGACUUGGUAACGCAGCUAACGCGUGAAGUCGACCGCCUGGGGAGUACGGUCGCAAGAUUAAAACUCAAAGGAAUUGACGGGGACCCGCACAAGCGGUGGAUGAUGUGGAUUAAUUCGAUGCAACGCGAAAAACCUUACCUACCCUUGACAUGGCAGGAACUCCGCAGAGAUGUGGAGGUGCCCGAAAGGGAGCCUGCGCACAGGUGCUGCAUGGCCGUCGACAGCU
This 289-nucleotide ribosomal RNA is filed under the name uncultured bacterium. RNAcentral's name for it is "partial 16S ribosomal RNA". It matches the Rfam family "Bacterial small subunit ribosomal RNA", at positions 773 to 1060 of the family's 1533-position model. The record is from RNAcentral.